Non-coding RNA from Sturnus vulgaris (Common starling), 150 nucleotides. The record is from RefSeq and is a predicted model, not a curated record. Lineage: Eukaryota; Metazoa; Chordata; Aves; Passeriformes; Sturnidae.
GUGAUGUGCUGGGUGCCCAGGUGAGAUGCUGGGUGCCCGGGGUGAGAUGGUGAGAUGCUCAGUGCCCAGGUGAGGUGCUGGGUGCCCAGAGGGAUGUGCUGGGUGCUCAGGUGAGAUGCUCAGUGCCCAGGUGAGAUGCUCAGUGCCCAG